CAGCACCUCAAGUGGUCAGGAUUAUUAUUGGGCCUAAAGCAUCCGUAGCCUGCUUUGUUAGUUUUCGGUUAAAUCCAUAUGCUCAACGUAUGGGCUGCCGGGAAUACUGCAAAGCUAGGGAGUGGGAGAGGUAGACGGUACUCGGUAGGAAGGGGUAAAAUCCUUUGAUCUAUUGAUGACCACCUGUGGCGAAGGCGGUCUACCAGAACACGUCCGACGGUGAGGGAUGAAAGCUGGGGGAGCAAACCGGAUUAGAUACCCGAGUAGUCC
Molecule: ribosomal RNA, 270 nt
Filed under: uncultured archaeon
Lineage: Archaea
Description: partial 16S ribosomal RNA
Rfam family: Archaeal small subunit ribosomal RNA
Source: RNAcentral